UACGGAGGGUGCAAGCGUUAAUCGGAUUUAUUGGGCGUAAAGGGCGCGUAGGCGGGAGUGCAAGUCAGAUGUGAAAUUCCGGGGCUUAACCCCGGAGCUGCAUUUGAAACUCCAUUCCUAGAGGGUAGGCGGAGAAAGCGGAAUUCUACAAGUAGCGGUGAAAUGCGUAGAUAUGUAGAAGAACACCUGUGGCGAAAGCGGCUUUCUAGCUUACUCCUGACGCUGAGGCGCGAAAGCUAGGGGAGCGAAC
This 250-nucleotide ribosomal RNA is filed under the name uncultured bacterium. RNAcentral's name for it is "partial 16S ribosomal RNA". It matches the Rfam family "Bacterial small subunit ribosomal RNA", at positions 524 to 773 of the family's 1533-position model. The record is from RNAcentral.